UGGCUCAGGAUGACGCUGGCGGCGCGUCUAACACAUGCAAGUCGAGCGCCCCUUCGGGGGAGCGGCAGACGGCUGAGUAACACGUUGGUACCUGCCCUGUACUCGGGGAUAGCCCGGAGAAAUCCGGAUUAAUACCCGAUAGUCUCUACGGAGUAAAGAAUUUCGGUACAGGAGGGGCCUGCGGCCUAUCAGCUUGUUGGUGGGGUAAUGGCUCACCAAGGCUAUGACGGGUAACUGGAUUGAGAGAUUGACCAGUCAGAAUGGGACUGAGACACGGCCCAUACUCCUACGGGAGGCAGCAGUGAAGAAUCUUCCACAAUGGGGGCAACCCUGAUGGAGCGACGCCGCGUGAGGGAAGACGUCCUAACGGAUGUAAACCUCUUUUGUCUGGGAACAAAUUUUUGAGCGUACCAGACGAAUAAGGACCGGCUAAUCACGUGCCAGCAGCCGCGGUAAUACGUGAGGUCCAAGCGUUAUCCGGAAUUAUUGGGCGUAAAGCGUCCGCAGCCGGUUGUAUAAGUCCGAGGUAAAAUUACGACGCUCACCGUCGUAAGCGUCUUGGAAACUGUACAACUUGAGUUAUGCAGAGGUAAGUGGAAUUCCGAUUGUAGGGGUAAAAUCCGUUGAUAAUCGGAGGAACACCAAAAGCGAAGGCAGCUUACUGGGCAUAUACUGACGGUCAGGGACGAAAGCGUGGGGAGCGAAGGGGAUUAGAUACCCCCGUAGUCCACGCCCUAAACGAUGAGUGCUCGGUUUUCGAGGGAUUUGACCCCCUUGAGAGCCCAAGCUAACGCGUUAAGCACUCCGCCUGUGUAGUACGGUCGCAAGACUAAAACAUAAAGGAAUAGACGGGGGCCCACACAAGCGGUGGAGCAUGUGGUUUAAUUCGACAAUAAGCGGAAAACCUUACCUGGGUUUGACAUCCCGAGAACCCUCUAGAAACAGAGGGGUGCCGCAAGGAACUCGGCGACAGGUGCUGCAUGGUCGUCGUCAGCUCGUGCCUUGAGGUGUUCGGUUAAGUCCGUAAACGAGCGCAACCCACGUCGUAUGUUACAUUUUCAUACGAGACUGCCGGCCCCAAGCCGGAGGAAGGUGUGGAUGACGUCAGAUCAGCAUGGCCCUUAUACCCAGGGCGACACACGUGCUACAAUGCCGAGGACAGAGGGUAGCCAAGGGGCGACCCGGAGCCAAUCCCUAAACCUCGGCUCAGUUCGGAUUGUAGGCUGCAACUCGCCUACAUGAAGUUGGAAUCGCUAGUAACCGUGAAUCAGCCAUGUCACGGUGAAUGUGUUCCUGGGCCUUGUACUCACCGCCCGUCAACGCAUGGGAGAAAGGGGUGCCCGAAG
RNAcentral lists this ribosomal RNA (1346 nucleotides) under uncultured organism. RNAcentral's name for it is "bacterial SSU rRNA". It matches the Rfam family "Bacterial small subunit ribosomal RNA". The record is from RNAcentral.